GACGAACGCUGGCGGCGUGCUUAACACAUGCAAGUCGUACGGUAAGGCCCUUUCGGGGGUACACGAGUGGCGAACGGGUGAGUAACACGUGAGUAACCUGCCCACAACUUUGGGAUAACGCUAGGAAACUGGUGCUAAUACUGGAUAUGUGCUCCUGCUGCAUGGUGGGGGUUGGAAAGCUCCGGCGGUUGUGGAUGGACUCGCGGCCUAUCAGCUUGUUGGUGGGGUAGUGGCCUACCAAGGCGGCGACGGGUAGCCGGCCUGAGAGGGUGACCGGCCACAUUGGGACUGAGAUACGGCCCAGACUCCUACGGGAGGCAGCAGUGGGGAAUAUUGCACAAUGGGCGCAAGCCUGAUGCAGCAACGCCGCGGGCGGGAUGACGGCCUUCGGGUUGUAACCCGCUUUCAGCAGGGACGAAGCUUUUUGUGACGGUACCUGCAGAAGAAGCACCGGCUAACUACGUG
This 465-nucleotide ribosomal RNA is filed under the name uncultured bacterium. Its description in RNAcentral is "partial 16S ribosomal RNA". It matches the Rfam family "Bacterial small subunit ribosomal RNA", at positions 28 to 507 of the family's 1533-position model. The record is from RNAcentral.